GAGGGCCACCACUUCAUUUACAUGGAGUGGACACCAAAUAACUAAUAGGAAACCUCUAGUGGGUAUUUAGACCCCAGAAGAUUCUGUAAAAGGGGCCCUUGAGCCACUGCUUGGGCCUGCUCCCACCCUGGAGAAUUAUACUUUCAUUUUCAAUAAAUUCCUGCUUUUGUUGCUUAUUACUUUCUUGCUCUGCUGUGCAUUUUUUCCCAUUCUUUGUUUCAAUUAUUUGCAAAAUGCCUUAUCUUGGCAUAAAUAGUUCUUGAUGCAAAGAACCUGAACAGCUUGCAGUCAAGACCCUCUACUGGUAACAUGUUUUGGAGACCCAGCCAGGAGGUAAGCCCAAAGUUUGGGAUUUAUUUUUCUCCUCUCCCCUUUUUUUCUCUGCUGUAUAUAGGGGAAUCUUUCUUUCUCACUCUCUCUUUUCCUUUCCAUAUCAGGAUGCUUGGUGCACAGCAUCUAAGAACAAAAGCAAUUGCAAGUUGCUGGCCAGGGCCACUCUAGUAAAACAGAAAGGUUUCCAUGCAGAAGCCCCUGACCACCACCACCCAGUUCAGUAGUAUUUCCAAUUUGAGGCUCACGGCAUCCUGCAAAGCUUCCCCAAAGCUCUGGCACUCCCCAAAGGAAUCUCAAGGCCCUGGAGAGAAGGAAGAAAGGAAAGUUGUUUCCAGUGCUACUGAUAUCACACUCCAGUCACAGAGGCACCCAGAGGCCACCAGCCCUGUUCACCCAGUCUUGCAGAAUCAAAUUCAAACUCCUUACCAUGGCCCAAAAGUCCAGCGUCACAUUCCGGCUGUCACCUCAGCCCUUACCCUGCCACUCUCACUACUUUCUGUUGCCACCAAGCUGACCUUCCUGCUGAGUGGACCCCAUCAAUCUUACAGUUCCUUCUUAGACAUCCUUCCUGUGAAAUCCACAUGGGCUGCACCACAAAGGAUGCUCAGCCUCACCAAUCCUUAAGGAAAUGCGGAUGGAAACUGCAAUGAGAUAUACUCAUCAGGGUGUAUCACGCCUGUUAGGAUGGCUAAGAGCAAAGUAAACAGAAAAGAACAAGUGUAUUAAGGAUGUGGAGAAAUUGAGAGCCUCAGGCACUGUUGGUGGGAGUGUGAAAUUGUGCAGCUGCUGUGGAAAACAGUAUGGUGGUCCCUCAAAAAAUGAAACACAGAACUACCUUAUAUCCAGCAAUUCCACUUCUGUGUACAUAUCCAAAAAGAGCGGAAAGCAGACCCCUUGAACAGAUAUUUGUACGUCCUUGUUUACAGCAGCAUUAUUCAUAGUAACCAACAGGUAGAAGCAACCCAAGAGUCUACUGGCAAAAGAACAGAUCAACACAAUGGGGCAUAUCCAUACAAUGGAAUAUUAUUCGGCCUUACAUAGAAGAAAAUUCUGACAUACAACAUGGCUUAACCUUGAAGACAUUAUCCCAAGUGAGAUGAACCAGUCAAGGCCAGGCACAGUGGCUCAUGCCUGUAAUUUCAGCACUUUGGGAGGAUGAAGCGGGAGGAUCAUGAGUUCAGGAGUUUGAGACCAGCCUGGCCAACAUGGUGUAACUAUUGGAACCUUGCCUCUACUACAAAUGCAAAAAUUAGCCAGAUGUGGAGGUGCACGCCUAUAAUCCCAGCUACUCAGGAGGCUGAGGUGGAGAAAUGCUUGAACCCAGGAGGCAGAGGUUGCGGUGAGCUGAGAUCGGGACACUGCACUCCAGCCUGGGUGACAAGAGUGAGACCGUCUCAGAAAAAAAAAAAAAGUUAAAAAAAGGACAAAUACUCUGAUUUCACUUGUAUGAGUUAUUUAGAGGAUUCAAUUCAUAGAAACAGAAAGUAGAGUGGUAGGUACUGAGGGAUAAGGGGUGGUAGGAAUGGAGAGUUAGCAUUUUAAUGGGCACAGAGUUUCAGUUUUGCAAGAUGAAAAGAGUUCUAGAGAUAGUUGUACGACACUGUGAAUACACUUAAUGCGCUUAAAAAUGGUUAAAAUGGUACAUUUUAUGUUGCAUAUAUUUUACUGCAAUUUAAAAAAGAGCAUGGGGGCAUCAAGGGUUUAGUCCAGCCUUCUGGCUUGUGGGCAGUAGAAGAGAGCUGUGUUCUUGAUGGGCCUGAGCCACCAAUGAUGGCUGUGUGGCCACAGCUUGCCCUGUCCCGACAGACACCAGUUCCAACGACCUCUCAUCUAACUUUCAGGUAAUGUGACUGAAUGAACUCCAUCAGCAGAUCAUUUGCUGGUGCUUAGACCAAGCCAAUACUGCUAGGAUUAACAAGAGUGGCCUGGCAGGAAGCAUCAGAUCAUGAAUCACUAAAGUCAAAGUUGUCUUCAGUCUGUGGCCAAAAUCACCGCCCACUGGAUUAAAGGGAGAGAACUACUGAUGAAAGCAGCAACAUGGAAGAGUCUCAGAAGUGCUGUGCUGUGUGAAAGAAGUCAGACGCUGGAGUACUGACUCAAUGAGCCCACUGAAAAAAAUGAGAACAAUGGCUGCUAGAAAUGAGGGAAUGGACGGACCAUGGGUGUGGGGCUGGUGGGAAGGGCCAUGAGAGAAGAUUCAGGAGUAAUGGAAAUAUUUUGUAUUUUGAUGAGGGUUUCGGCUAUGUGACUGUAUUUUUAAAACUCAUCAAACUGGACACAAGAUCUAUUCAGAUAUGCUUCACUGUAUGCAAAUUUGACCUCUAAAAUAGAACUAUAAACAAAUAUUGAGCUCUAGCUAAUGCUUGACACGCAUGCUGAAGUAUUAGGGGUGAAAUGUACUGAUGCCUGCAACUUACUUGGAAAUGCAUCUAAAAAUAUGGUGAAUUGGCACAUGAGGAGAGAUGUGUGAUGAGAAAAACAGUGGCAAUUGUAGAAUCUAGUGGGUACGUAUCUAGCAGGUGUGUAUCUAGUUGUUAACAAUUCUUUCAACUUUUCUGUGUGUUUAAAACUUUCCCCAUAAAAUGUUGAGAUGAAUAUAAUUAUAGAAGUUAUAGUUUAAGACAAAUUAAACUACUUAGUCCUUAUAACGUUGUAGGAUCAGAAUAUUAAAGCAGUAUGGCCAUUUGGUAUCAGCUAAAAUCGUGGUUCUCAAACUAUGUUCCCUAGAAGUAUUUCAGGGAUCUCCUCCCCGUCAGGCAAAAUAGCUCUCCUUUAAUGAGUUUUACAUACUGGGGUCCUCUGUAAGAUUUUUGUUUCAAAAAAAAGGUCCAUUACUUGAAAAAGUAAGUGCUUCUCAAUACCAUGUUAUAUCAGCAUUUGAAACAGACAAUUUGAGUAAGACUGCCACUCGAAUUGCUGUGCCUCUGCAUUGCUGGUCUUCAGACAUCAAAAAGCAGUGGCAUCUACCCCAUGAUUGGAAUAAUUUUGAACACCCCCACACAUUUUCGACUUGGCCCCUAUGCCACUGAUCUGCCCAUUGCCACUUUAGAGUUAGCACCAAAUCUAACAAAUCCAGGUCAACAGGUCUGUAUUUAAGUGGAGAAAGUUUUUCCACAAUAGUACAUUGUCUGAAAUUUUUAUUGAGUGUUCAAAAUAGUAAAAGAAACACUUAGAGGGUGUUUUUGUUUUUUUGUUUUUUGGGUUUUUUUUUUUUUUUUUUUUUGCCAUCCAAGUACAAUUCUCUUUAAAAGAAACAAUCAUCACUGGGGCCUCCCAUCUUUCCAGCUGGAGAAGAUGCUCUCUCCUGGUAAAUGAAUGGCUUCUGGAUAUUUCUUGGAUACUCAUACGACUUAACUCCAGGAAGGGAAAGACUGCCGCGAUUGUGCCAACAUUUGUGCAUCUGGUCUACUUGAAAAUUCCACUUACUGUUGUAAAGGGAUAAGUUGGCAUUCUGGUAUCUCAAACAUAAAAAUUUUUAAAAAUCACAGUGCUUAAAAUCCAUGAUGAAGCCCAAAUAGAGUGCCACAUGUUAAGGAGGAACAUCAUUGGCUUAUACGUUGGUAUCUCCCACCCUCUCCUGGGGCAGUCCCCUGAAAAAGAGCAGGGGUCAGGUGGCACCCCCACUUCCCACAGAAAAGCUGCUGUCACAUGGUUUUCCUAUAGGAAUGUGCACGUGGAAAACGAGUGGAAAGCAAGCCGGAACAGAUGUCUAAUAUCAUUAAAGCUGGUUCAAAAGAAUCCAGAUCUCAGUUUGGUAUAUUAAUGCUCUAUUUAUCUUUAAGCACAGAUGGAUAUUUUUAUUGGUAUUACUUUGUUUAUCUGGUUUUAAGAAAGGUUAGUCCAGGGGGCAGAUGCCUCUGUUAUGAGAGUGCAUUCCUGUGAGGGAGUUAGAAGAGAGAGGCAGCUUUUUUCAGUAGAACUUUAAUUAGGAAAGCCAGAGUUGUAUAUGUUGGCAGCUCUUGCCCGAUUUAAUGAGACCAGUUGCAACAACAAACAGAAAGACAAAUAGGACAUUGGUGAGCCUAGAGUUUCCCACCUCUUCUCCUCACCAGCCGAAGAGAAAAACAACACAGCACCACUGCAUUCCCCAGUGCAAAAUAGACCAUGACAGAAUCUAAAUUCUCUAGAAAGGGAUGCUUCACAAAUAGACCGCUACCACCUAAGAUAACCAAGAGCAAUAGAUCUGUUACCAGGGUCUUGGUUAUGAACACGUGGACCUUCUAGAAGCUUCUGGGUAAAGUGAUUUCCAUGUGGCUUCUGGACUGGUGUGGCUUUUAUUAGAUGAUAGCCUGGGACCCUGGGGGGGAUGCCCAGGCUCUGUUCGCAAUUGUUACCUCUAAGUUUGCUUUUACUGGAGUUGAUCUCUAAUUUAGUCUCUCUUCGUGGAGGAGUUAAACAGGAUUAUGGAUCCACAUGUCCAGGAAAUUCCUUCCUGAAUUGGAUUAGGAGAUUUCAUUUGCCUGAUGGAUCUCCCAGAAAUAAUUGCUAACAUGUACUCAAUGUGUGUGUCUUCUUCAUCAACAGCAUAACUCUUUAUUACUCAUCUUUUUGUUUAAUCUUCCUUCUGCCAUCCUCUUUAGACAUGUACAUAUGCAACUGUAAUUGUACAGAGAAAAGAGAAAAGGUUUUAACAUCCAAAAAUUUGGGUUUGAGAGUCGUUUCUAACACACGCCUUGGACACACACUUACCUGCUCCCUCUAAUAAUUCUCCUACCUUUAAAAUAAGAAUGAGGCUGGGCACUGUGGCUCACACCUCUCUAAUCCCAGCACUUUGGGAGGCUGAGGCUGGUGGAUCACUUGAGGUCAGGAGUUGGAGACCAGCUUGGUCAACAUAGUGAAACCCCGUCUCUUCCAAAAAUACAAAAACUUAGCUGGGUGUGGUGGCGCACACCUGUAAUCCCGGCUACCCAGGAGGUUGAGGCAGGGGAAUCGCUUGAACCCAGGAGGCAGAGGUUGCAGUGAGCUGCAUUCCAGCCGGGGUGACAGAGCGAGACUCCAACUCAAAUAAAAAAACAAAGAUGUUUCAAAAUCCUAAGAAUGAACGUUCCUAUCCAACUCACCUUACAAAGUUGUUGUGAAUGUGCAAACUCAUUGCGUUCCCUUCAGAACCUCACUCUGCCUCUUGGACAUCAUAUUUCUCCUUCCUCAUGCAGGCCUCUUCUUAGUUUCUCUUUUCCCUUACUCCAGGUAUCCAUCUACUCUCUCUCCAAAGCUCCUCAUCUUUCUACUCUGAAUUUCGUCUCUUUCAAUCUUAGUACCCCUGUCUUCUGCUACUGCAGAGACCUCCCCACUGAUCUGCCUGCCCAGGUAUCUUCUCCUGGUACAUCUGACACACACUGAUCUAGGUACACCUAGCUGAUCCAGGUGAACCUGCCUGAUUCAAAAACACACUUCUCUAUGCAGUGGCUUUUAAUGGCUCUAAAUAGCAUAUUAUCUUAGUUCGACAUAUUUUGCUACAUAAAAAAUAAGACACAGACAUCUCAGCCCACUGUAAACAUCCCCUGGAAGACUCACUCCACAUUUCCACUAUGAUUUCUCCAACCAUUCCCCUUCAAACAAGGUGUGCUUUUGCCAAUCUGAAACCCUGUCCACCCAUUCAUAUUGCUGUCAACAUUCACCCUUUGCUUCUGCUGCCAGGGGUCCUUCUUGCCAAAACACCUUUUGGAUUCCCCUCCUCUACAUGUUCAGGUCCUCUCAAAGCUCAGCUCUAAUGCAUCCUGUAUGAAGCCAUUCCAUUUUCAACGUCACAGGAAGCAGUUCUCCUCUUUACCCCAUUAUCUGUACCUCUCUCGUUGCACUUAUUUUCACUUUCCCUGCCAUUUGUUUAGUUAUGAUAGUUAUUUACUGCAUGGCUGUUAGUAUAAUAAAGUCCAUGAGGGUGUGUCCUGUGUCUGAUUCAUUUUUCAGCACCUGGAGCAGCUAGCACACUAUGGACUCUGUGUACAUACACCAUAUCAAGAUGUGCCAUUUUGAGCCUGAACAAAUGUCUACUACCAUGAAGCUGGCAUGUCUGUACAUGUCUGGCCUUUCCAAUGCCAAUUUGCAUUAACAAAAUGAGGUGCCCUCUGGAAAAUAACCUAUUAUAAAAGAGAGAAGGUGAGGCAGAAAAGCUUGGCCGCAUAAUAAAACCUUAGUCAUAGCAGUCAUGGCAGCAAAUGCUUGGAUUUUUGAGUACAGUAUUAUAAGGUUUGCCUUUCAGCUUUGUCUGCUUGCCCAAAAACUGUUUACUAAAAAAAUCACUGGAACAUAGCAGGGCAAUUUUUAAAGUCCAUAUGAAAAUGCUGGAAAUGGAGAGAAAGCAUUCUCCUGACUGUACAGAAUGUGAAAAGCUCUUGACCCUCAGAGGUCUCCAAAGGACAUGGGACUGUCACUUUGGUGACUUGAGGAUGCAAAACUCUGAUGGAAGCAGGAGAAAUGAGGAAAAAAAUGCAGAUGCUAUGCAAGACCUAACAAUUUAUUAGUGAACUCAUCUGAGACACCUCUGGAGACCCCCCCAGAAGUAAUUUGUGGAGAGCAGGGAAUUGCAGAGCCUAGAGAUCCUGCAAUAGCAGGUAGAGAUGAGAGCAAAGGAAACAGAUAGCAUACUGCAGGAAUGAGGAGAUAAGAGAAUUCAGUGAUGUAUACAAAGGAAUUUGUCAAGACACAUACAGUCCCCAGCUUCAGGUUGUAAUGAUGAAUUGGUUCUGUGGGUUUCUCUUGGUUAUAGAAACACAGUCUCACAAUCUUGGGUCUUGUCACUCUAGAAUUAACCUGUCUCCCAGGACCUCCGCUCCCUCUUACAUUAAAUUUUCCACUUUUUUUUCAUCUUUUUCUCUUUAUGUGUUACAUCUAUUUGCAUCAUCUCCUCUAAAGCAGCUAUAAAUAUGUCUACUGAGCCAUGGGGACCCAAGUCACCAGUCACAAGGACCUUUUGUUUGUCAUUGCAAAUAUUGGCUAUCAGAUAUGAGCAAAAAGAGAAAAAAAACAUGAUGUAUGUCCCUGGAGUUUGGGAACUGGUUGAAACGGUGGUAGGAGAGAGGGAGAGGAAUUGGAAAGAUAGACUAUCCUGCUUAACUGCUCCUCAUUUCUCAUGCCCGAUGAUUAUUAAUUACAUUUGUGCAUUGAUACAAUUUGCUAGUUUUCUGAGUAGGCGAAUUGCGCUUAGUCAUCUUGGCAUUUUUAAAUGUAAAUGAAAAAUCACCCAGUGCUCUGAGCCAGAAGCGAGAAAGAUAAAUAACACCAGGAAGCUGGUCGUUGCCCGUCUGUCAUAAAAUUUCAUUAGUUUUGACAGCCUGUACAACAGAAGCAAUGAAUGAAUGCUAACUACACUUCCUCGUCUGUCCGC
Non-coding RNA from Callithrix jacchus (white-tufted-ear marmoset), 7657 nucleotides. The record is from RefSeq and is a predicted model, not a curated record. NCBI's taxonomy places the organism in Eukaryota, Metazoa, Chordata, Mammalia, Primates, Cebidae.